RNAcentral lists this transfer RNA (30 nucleotides) under Hyacinthoides hispanica. Its description in RNAcentral is "partial tRNA-His". The record is from RNAcentral. Lineage: Eukaryota; Viridiplantae; Streptophyta; Magnoliopsida; Asparagales; Asparagaceae. RNAcentral also lists the same sequence under 2 other names.
GGCGAAUGUAGCCAAGUGGAUCAGGGCAGU